RNAcentral lists this unclassified non-coding RNA (410 nucleotides) under Hevea brasiliensis (rubber tree). The record is from RNAcentral. Lineage: Eukaryota; Viridiplantae; Streptophyta; Magnoliopsida; Malpighiales; Euphorbiaceae.
GAGAGAGAGAGGGAGAACGACAGAAUGUGUUUUUCUUUAAUUACCUUUUGAAGACCUAACCUAUAACAUGGGCUGGUCUUUUUAUUCUUUCAACCCAAUGCAUAGUAAGCUUUCAUUUAGGUUUAUGCUCAGAAAACAAUUCAAGAUAGUGGCAGUUGAUUCUGUUACACUAUUUUUUUUAUUCCAAAAUAUUUCUGAUUCUGUUAUUUAAAGCCUUGCAUGUAACCCACUUUUUAAUGUAAGUGCAUGUGUGCAUAGAAAGAGACUCCUUAGACUGUUGUGAUUUUUUGUGUAUGAAACAUAAUUGCAGUUAUUAGGAGUUUGGGUGUUGCAUUUAGACAUUUAUGUACUUGUUUGGAUGUUCUGUGAACUGCUAGUUCUUUCUUCUCUUCUCAUGGAUGGUGAUGUGA